AAGCUUUUGUAAUUCCUAAGCAUAAUGAUUAGCUGUUUACACAUACAAGAUGUGCCUCCCUCAAACCUUGUGAACGAUGUCAGCACGUUAUCCAUCUGACA
Nycticebus coucang (slow loris) is the source of this 101-nucleotide small nucleolar RNA. RefSeq annotates it as small nucleolar RNA U13. The record is from RefSeq and is a predicted model, not a curated record. NCBI's taxonomy places the organism in Eukaryota, Metazoa, Chordata, Mammalia, Primates, Lorisidae. The transcript has a single exon.